This 570-nucleotide ribosomal RNA is filed under the name Triticum aestivum (bread wheat). RNAcentral describes it as "partial small subunit ribosomal RNA". Lineage: Eukaryota; Viridiplantae; Streptophyta; Magnoliopsida; Poales; Poaceae. The record is from RNAcentral.
CUGGCCAAAGAGGACGUGUGUGCCAUAUGUGGAGUAGAAAGGAAAGAUGAGUAUCACACCGUGAUCACGUGCACCAGAAGCAGGGCAUUGCGAUUCGCUAUGAGGGCAAUCUGGGUACUGCCGAAAGAGUCAGCCUUUAGGUGGACAGGUAAUGAUUGGUUACAGAUACUUCUAAUACCGCAGAUCGAGGAAAUCAGGAAAAGAAUACUGCUGAUUCUCUGGAAGGCCUGGCACCUUAGGAAUUAUAUCAUCCACGGGGAUGGAAAGGACACGGUCUCAGGAGCCGUGAAACACUUGAUCGGACUGGAGGAUGACCUGUCAUUGGUCGCGCUUGUAGAUUUCCCGACUACUGGGCAGCAAAACCAUUCACUACUGGCUGACAAAGGAUGCAGACCACCAGACCCAAUGCCAAAUGUGUGGCUUGCCCCGCCAGUGGGUAGAACAAAAAUAAAUUGUGAUGCCGCCUUUUUAUCAGAGUCAGGUAACACCUGGGGAGGCACAGUGGCAAGGGAUCAUCGAGACUUAGUCCUCCUCUCGGCUGGCGGUAGCUCCCUCAGUGUAAGUCUAUAG